UACACGCUGUGACUAGCAUAUCAAUAAGCGGAGGAAAAGAAACUAACAAGGAUUCCCUCAGUAACGGCGAGUGAAGCGGGAAGAGCUCAAAUUUGAAAUCUUGAAAGGUCACCUUUCACGAAUUGUAGUUUAAAGAAGUGUUUUCUGUUACGAUCGUAAUAUAAGUUCUUUGGAAUAGGACAUCACAGAGGGUGAGAAUCCCGUCUAUGAUUGCGAUUUGUAGCUUUGUGAUACACUUUCAAAGAGUCGGGUUGUUUGGGAAUGCAGCCCAAAACGGGAGGUAAAUUUCUUCUAAGGCUAAAUAUUGGCGAGAGACCGAUAGCGAACAAGUACCGUGAGGGAAAGAUGAAAAGAACUUUGAAAAGAGAGUUAAAUAGUACGUGAAAUUGUCAAAAGGGAAGCGUUUAACACCAGUGUUGUUUUCUGAAAAUCAACCUCUGUUAGCUCUAUGCAUGUUUGUUUAGACCUAAUCAGCUAUCUUUCAUGUUCUAUUGUUUGCAGUGGUGCACUUUUCAGUUUACAGGUCAACAUCAGUUUUUUUUACCGUAAAAAAGUUAAAGAAAGGUAGCUCAUGGCUCCGGUCGUGAGUGUUAUAGUCUUUCUCCUAUGCGGUAGGAGAGACUGAGGUCUGCAGUGUAGGCUAUUUGGCUAGAUACUCAGGUGCUAUGUGAUACCAUUUCAUAAACAACUUGUUGAUUAUGUUUUGUCUAUUGCAUACUCGCUUGUACUAUCAUACCUACGCUUAGGAUGUUGAGUAGCGACAUACGCAC
RNAcentral lists this ribosomal RNA (770 nucleotides) under uncultured Neocallimastigales. RNAcentral describes it as "partial large subunit ribosomal RNA". The stretch from base 3 to 660 matches the Rfam family "Eukaryotic large subunit ribosomal RNA", at positions 24 to 664 of the family's 3401-position model. Lineage: Eukaryota; Fungi; Neocallimastigomycota; Neocallimastigomycetes; Neocallimastigales. The record is from RNAcentral.